This 497-nucleotide ribosomal RNA is filed under the name uncultured bacterium. RNAcentral describes it as "partial 16S ribosomal RNA". It matches the Rfam family "Bacterial small subunit ribosomal RNA", at positions 28 to 507 of the family's 1533-position model. The record is from RNAcentral.
GAUGAACGCUGGCGGCGUGCCUAAUACAUGCAAGUCGAGCGAACAGAUGAGGAGCUUGCUCCUCUGACGUUAGCGGCGGACGGGUGAGUAACACGUGGAUAACCUACCUAUAAGACUGGGAUAACUUCGGGAAACCGGAGCUAAUACCGGAUAAUAUAUUGAACCGCAUGGUUCAAUAGUGAAAGACGGUUUUGCUGUCACUUAUAGAUGGAUCCGCGCCGCAUUAGCUAGUUGGUAAGGUAACGGCUUACCAAGGCAACGAUGCGUAGCCGACCUGAGAGGGUGGUCGGCCACACUGGAACUGAGAAACGGUCCAGACUCCUACGGGAGGCAGCAGUAGGGAAUCUUCCGCAAUGGGCGAAAGGCUGACGGAGCAACGCCGCGUGAGUGAUGAAGGUCUUCGGAUCGUAAAACUCUGUUAUUAGGGAAGAACAAAUGUGUAAGUAACUAUGCACGUCUUGACGGUACCUAAUCAGAAAGCCACGGCUAACUACGUG